AGCGUAGACGGAGUGGCAAGUCUGAUGUGAAAACCCGGGGCUCAACCCCGGGACUGCAUUGGAAACUGUCAAUCUAGAGUACCGGAGAGGUAAGCGGAAUUCCUAGUGUAGCGGUGAAAUGCGUAGAUAUUAGGAGGAACACCAGUGGCGAAGGCGGCUUACUGGACGGUAACUGACGCUGAGGAGCGAAAGCAUGGGGAGCGAACA
RNAcentral lists this ribosomal RNA (207 nucleotides) under uncultured bacterium. RNAcentral describes it as "partial 16S ribosomal RNA". It matches the Rfam family "Bacterial small subunit ribosomal RNA", at positions 568 to 774 of the family's 1533-position model. The record is from RNAcentral.